CAUGUUUCCUGUAGUUCCUCUGCUGCUUCUGGCUGCUGGAUCCUGUGUGAAGUGUGAACAGCUGACACAGCCAGACUCUGUGAGUCUGCAGCCAGGUCAGAGACUGACCAUCACCUGUCAGGUCUCUUAUUCUCUGAGCAGCUACCUCACAGCUUGGAUCAGACAGCCUGCAGGGAAAGGACUGGAGUGGAUUGGUAGUGAAUGUGUUGGAUGCACCAGCUACUACAAAGAUUCACUGAAGAACAAGUUCAGUAUGACUUUG
Molecule: non-coding RNA, 262 nt
Organism: Oryzias melastigma (Indian medaka)
Lineage: Eukaryota; Metazoa; Chordata; Actinopteri; Beloniformes; Adrianichthyidae
Source: the annotation of a RefSeq genome assembly